UGGGGAAUAUUGCACAAUGGGGGAAACCCUGAUGCAGCGACGCCGCGUGAGUGAAGAAGUAUUUCGGUAUGUAAAGCUCUAUCAGCAGGGAAGAAAAUGACGGUACCUGACUAAGAAGCCCCGGCUAACUACGUGCCAGCAGCCGCGGUAAUACGUAGGGGGCAAGCGUUAUCCGGAUUUACUGGGUGUAAAGGGAGCGUAGACGGAUGUGCAAGUCUGAAGUGAAAGCCCGGGGCUCAACCCCGGGACUGCUUUGGAAACUGUGUAUCUAGAGUGCCGGAGAGGUAAGCGGAAUUCCCAGUGUAGCGGUGAAAUGCGUAGAUAUUGGGAGGAACACCAGUGGCGAAGGCGGCUUACUGGACGGUAAUUGACGUUGAGGCUCGAAAGCGUGGGGAGCAAACAGGAUUAGAUACCC
This 415-nucleotide ribosomal RNA is filed under the name uncultured bacterium. Its description in RNAcentral is "bacterial SSU rRNA". It matches the Rfam family "Bacterial small subunit ribosomal RNA", at positions 355 to 787 of the family's 1533-position model. The record is from RNAcentral.